Small nuclear RNA from Mobula hypostoma (lesser devil ray), 164 nucleotides. RefSeq annotates it as U1 spliceosomal RNA. The transcript has a single exon. The record is from RefSeq and is a predicted model, not a curated record. NCBI's taxonomy places the organism in Eukaryota, Metazoa, Chordata, Chondrichthyes, Myliobatiformes, Myliobatidae.
AUACUUAUCUGGCAGGGAACCAUCAGUGAUCAGGAGGGCCAAGGUUCCAGGAGGAGGCUAUCCCAUUGCACUUCAGGUGUGCUGACGCCUGUGAUAUCCCCAAAUGCAGGAUAUUGGCUGCAUAAUUUGUGGUAGUAGGGGGACUGUGUUCGUGCUAUUGUUAA